Molecule: long non-coding RNA, 1917 nt
Organism: Hylaeus volcanicus
Lineage: Eukaryota; Metazoa; Arthropoda; Insecta; Hymenoptera; Colletidae
Exons: 4
Source: RefSeq, a predicted model, not a curated record
CAACAGCAAGCGCUGCGCGCGCAGCGAAGAUUCACUCCGCGUUUCGUAGCCACGACGAGGAACGACGAGCGACGAUUGUGACUUCUCUUUUCCCGCGCCACCGUAAUUGUAACACACGUCCGUGGAAAAUUAAUAACGACGCCUAUUAACUAUGAACGCGAACGUGUUCGACGUGCAACAGUGUAUUCAAAAUCUGUUGACGAGUACGUCAAGCAGAACAACGGCUGGUCCAAGGAGCACAGUAUCAAAAAUCGCUGACUUACCGGAACCCAGGAACAAAUGACGAGCGGACUAAGCGGACUAAGUGGACUAAGUGGACUGCGUCGAUCAAGUGAGGGUUAAGAAACCGGCGCGCGGGAAAAAAACUGUCGACUGAACCGGAAAUGCAGGGAUGAACAUGGCUGCCGUGGAUAUCCGUGGAUAGGUGACGACGCUACAGUAUUGUACGAUGGAGAUUCCUGAAGCUUGGUGGGAGCGUUACCGUGAACAUUCGAAGAUUUAAUAACGAUCAUGGUGAAAAGGACGGUCGAAGCUGGCGAGGAUCCUCGAAUAAGCUGAAGUUGCAGGAACGUAUCCGUGAAUACGUAAGCUUUCCGUGAACGCGUCAGGUUUUCUACGAUCAGCGUGUUCUGGCGGCGGCCCUAACCUCCCAUUCGCGCACGCUGGCAGAUUCGUGGGCAGUUGAACGAGAAAUUAUAAGGUGAAAUCUAGGAGGCCUAGAAGGUACCAGGCUCGGCUUAGGGGGUGCUACAGAGUACUGGGCUUCCGAAUGUCUUCCAUUUCGUUCGUGUCUCCGUUGAACGCAGCGAAGAGCUCCAGUCAGGUGAAUCGAGGCGUUGUUCCAUGGAAACUGUAGCAACGGACGAGAGGAAGCUCGCAGAAGGGUUCACGCGUUCAAAAGGGCUAAACGCGACGUGUCACGACCGCCGUUGGCGACGUUCGUUCGUUCAGAAAGCCCAGAAACCCUUCGGGACCCUUCGUUAAUGGAGCGACGCGUGAUCAUUAAAGUGAUUGCCGUCGAAUCGCGUCGAAAUCGUGGAAACUGCGCUGCGUUUUGACACGGUGUACACGUGUCGCUACGUGGGUUCCAAUGUGGGCUGCCACCGCGAUAAUUGAACGUAAUGGCGGUAGCGAGGCGUUUAAUUUAUUUAGGAGUCCGCCGUUCAGAAAUUCGAGCGCGUUAUCGAACGGGACCUUUCGUUUUCCGCGCGAAGCGACACCGCCGUUACGCGAAAACCAGGCCCUUCAAGGAAGGUUGGACUGCUAAUGUGGAACGCGCGUCACGCUUUAGCGCGUGCAGUUUAGCAGCGUCGAACAUUAAACUGCAGCGAGCCAGUUCAUCCUGCCGGUAGUUUAUCGUUGCAGGAUUUCCUCCUUUCGUCGUUUGCCCGCCGCGGCCUAAUGGGAACAUUUACACCGAAGGACUAAACCGCUUCUGAACCCGACGUUGAAGCAUUACAAGGUACCCGUGAAAAAUCGAUAGCCCGUAUGGCUGUUGCUGCGCUUGAAACGAAGAAUUAUUCGACGUUACUCGCUCCUCCGUUUUUCGAGCACAAUGCAUCCGCGAAUUAUUCGAUUAUUAAGCUAGGCGUCUAGUCUAGCGAGAAACAAGCUUACUUUCGAAAACGUUUUUCUCGGCUUCUUUAUUAAAUAUUACAAUUAGAAAUUUGUCUCGUACCAAUAUCAGGAGUAGAAUACUUCUACCUAGAACUUCGCCGUGGUCGCUAAGUUUUCAAUCAUUUAAGACCGACGGAAUUAACUCCCUGUUUUAUUAAGUGCAAGUGCAAAUAUUUCAUAAAAAAAUGUCUAUAUUAUUUGAAAGUUGAAAAUGAAGAAGCUUCUCCUCUUCUUCGGUCAGAAGACAUGAACGUAAGUACAUUAUUACUUUACGUUUAAUUUCACCCGUGUCAUCCUGGU